RNAcentral lists this ribosomal RNA (466 nucleotides) under uncultured bacterium. RNAcentral describes it as "partial 16S ribosomal RNA". It matches the Rfam family "Bacterial small subunit ribosomal RNA", at positions 28 to 507 of the family's 1533-position model. The record is from RNAcentral.
GACGAACGCUGGCGGCGUGCUUAACACAUGCCAGUCGAACGGAAAGGCCCUGCUUGCAGGGUACUCGAGUGGCGAACGGGUGAGUAACACGUGGGUGAUCUGCCCUGCACUUCGGGAUAAGCUUGGGAAACUGGGUCUAAUACCGGAUAGGUGCCAUCUUUAGUGUGGUGGUUGGAAAGUUUUUUCGGUGUAGGAUGAGCUCGCGGCCUAUCAGCUUGUUGGUGGGGUAAUGGCCUACCAAGGCGGCGACGGGUAGCCGGCCUGAGAGGGUGUACGGCCACAUUGGGCCUGAGAUACGGGCCAGACUCCUACGGGAGGCAGCAGUGGGGAAUAUCGCACAAUGGGCGCAAGCCUGAUGCAGCGACGCCGCGUGGGGGAUGAAGGCCUUCGGGUUGUAAACUCCUUUCGCUAGGGACGAAGCUUUGUUGUGACGGUACCUAGAUAAGAAGCACCGGCUAACUACGUG